Long non-coding RNA from Brassica napus (rape), 1213 nucleotides. RefSeq lists it as uncharacterized. NCBI's taxonomy places the organism in Eukaryota, Viridiplantae, Streptophyta, Magnoliopsida, Brassicales, Brassicaceae. The record is from RefSeq and is a predicted model, not a curated record. The transcript has 3 exons.
GUCGGCUAAGAGACAACCAACUGUUUCUCGCUCCUCCACUGAGGCUGAAUACAGAGCUCUCGCGAACACAGCCUGUGAAAUCACUUGGUUGUCUUUUGUUCUUCGUGAUCUUGGCGUCCCACAGCCUAAGCCUGCUGUUCUACGGUGCGAUAACUUGUCAGCGGUUCAUCUCACGGCGAAUCCAGUUCUUCAUAGUCGGUCAAAACAUUUUGAAACUGACUACCACUAUGUUCGAGAGCGUGUCGCUUUUGGUGUUUUGGAAGUUCAACAUGUUCUCUCAGCAUUGCAACUAGCGGACAUCUUCACUAAAUCCUUACCCCGCCAUUCUUUUCAGCAUCUCAGAGACAAACUGAAUGUUGGUAACCUCUCCACCAUCAGUUUGCGGGGGAAUGAAAAUGCACAAGGUCCAACGGGCCACUAUGAUAUCUCUCCAGCCCCAUCUACUCAAGACGGAAAAGGAUGUAUAUAUAAGCAAGCUUGUACAUGAAUGUUGGUUAAGUAAUAAAGUUAUAACAUUCAGCCACACUUUUUCCUCUUUUCUCUCUUUGUUCUUAGAAACCCCACCCACUUUGGCGUUGUUAUGUUUUUGUUUGUGUUAAACCUUUUUGUUUAUUGUUUACUUGACUCAGGCUUUCAGAGUUUUUGACCGUAACCAGACAGGCUAUGUUAGGGUUGAAGAUAUGAGAAUAACUAUUCACAGCUUGGGAAAAUUCAUAUCUCACCGAGAAGUCAAGGAACUUGUGCAGAGUGCUUUGCUAGAGAGCAACACAGGAAGAGAUGAUCGAAUUCUAUACAAUAAGCUUGUUAGAGAGUUAGAGACUAUAUAGUCAAUGAAGUUCUUGUUUCUUAGUGUUUUAUUCUUUGGAACUUACUUGAGAAAUGUUUUUCUUCACGUCUUCACUUGCAACUAUAUGAAUAAACUGAAAUUUUGGUGAUAAAGAUUCUUGUUUUUAAUCUAAUUUGAGCAGAUGUCAAAAGCACAUUACAUCAUAUGAUCAAACGCAGUAUCAGGAGCUGUACGGUUCUCAGGUUUAUAAAGUAUCCAAGGCUUAUAAACCUCCAAGACCCUGAGCUACAUAUGCAAAUGUAGACCAAACACUUGUCGUCACAAGAAUAUCUGUCAUACUCAAAAGGUACAUUUCCGCAAGAGCUUUUCUGUCAUGCAUCUCUUUUCUCCUCUCUAUUACAUGAGAAACUAACUUGUGGUGGUACU